GACGCCGAAGGUGGGGCUAAUGACUGGGGUGAAGUCGUAACAAGGUAGCCGUACCGGAAGGUGCGGCUGGAUCACCUCCUAA
RNAcentral lists this ribosomal RNA (82 nucleotides) under Prochlorococcus sp. AH-736-K20. RNAcentral describes it as "partial 16S ribosomal RNA". It matches the Rfam family "Bacterial small subunit ribosomal RNA", at positions 1452 to 1533 of the family's 1533-position model. Lineage: Bacteria; Bacillati; Cyanobacteriota; Cyanophyceae; Synechococcales; Prochlorococcaceae. The record is from RNAcentral.